CAGCCGCCGCGGUAAUACGAAGGGUGCAAGCGUUAAUCGGAAUUACUGGGCGUAAAGCGUGCGUAGGCGGUGAGUUAAGUCUGUUGUGAAAUCCCCGGGCUCAACCUGGGAAUGGCAAUGGAUACUGGCAAGCUAGAGUGUGUCAGAGGAUGGUGGAAUUCCCGGUGUAGCGGUGAAAUGCGUAGAGAUCGGGAGGAACAUCAGUGGCGAAGGCGGCCAUCUGGGACAACACUGACGCUGAGGCACGAAAGCGUGGGGAGCAAACAGGAUUAGAUACCCCUGUAGUCCCUGUCUCUUAUAC
RNAcentral lists this ribosomal RNA (301 nucleotides) under uncultured bacterium. RNAcentral describes it as "partial 16S ribosomal RNA". It matches the Rfam family "Bacterial small subunit ribosomal RNA", at positions 509 to 807 of the family's 1533-position model. The record is from RNAcentral.